Molecule: non-coding RNA, 7894 nt
Organism: Taeniopygia guttata (zebra finch)
Lineage: Eukaryota; Metazoa; Chordata; Aves; Passeriformes; Estrildidae
Source: RefSeq, a predicted model, not a curated record
GCGGGGACGGGGCGGAAGGAGAAAAUAGAUUGUGCCCGAAAGACAGCGGCUUCCAGGUUUUAAAUUACUUAUCGGUAAAGAGGAGGACGAAGACAUAGCAGUUUUUGAAUUUCUUACACCUCUGUAUACCCCUGAGGCGGGAGAAAGGGGGUUGGAGGGGCCGUCCCAUUCCCUUCCGCUUUCCCCGCCCCAGCCCCAACUCUGGGAGGCGUCACAGGCGCCCGAGACUUUCGUGGCAAAGCCUUUGGUUUCCGGGCUCCCACAGCCUCGGUCGGCUGCCAGCCUCCAACAAAGACGGCACAGGGCGGUCGCUGGGUCAGACCGGUGCCAUCCCAGUGCCGCCCGCCCCGAACCGGCCGCGCAGGCUCAGUCCAGCCCGGUUGGCGCAUGCUCCCUGCGCACCCCAUUCACCCCCCCCAGCCCCAGCCGCUGCAGCCGCCCCCGCGGCAGCCCGUGUUCCCUGUGCUGGAACAGCUGCGGUCCCCUGGCAGCAGCUGCUGCGGGCAAGCAUCACACCGCUGCAGCCGCCACCAUCCCCCGAGGAGACACACGCAGCGCCACAUCUCGGCACAGCACGGCUUUUCCAGCCGCCCCAGGUCGCAGCAGGUCCCGCCGCGGCGGAAAGCGGCUCACAGCCGAUCCGUGGAGCAACAGCGCCGCCUUGUGGAACAAAGGCAGCGUUGCAACAAGCAUUGCAAAGGCGGCAGGAAAAAUAAUGUAAAAUAAUUUAAAUCCAGGGUAUACAGAAUCGUCCACAAUCAAUUGAGGCCCUUAAAGCAUGCCUUGCAGAAGAAGACCAUGACACACUACAUCAUUCCAGGAAAAAUGGACAUGCCAAGCCAAGACGCCUCACACACUGGACAGGAUGCCAGCACUCAAGCCAUGGAUGAUCCACAUCAACAACAAUUUCCUGUACCACAGGAGAACAGCAACAAGAAUGUUAUCUCCAUCACAGCAGGACAAGGCAUUCCUAUUUCAUCUAAAGAACCAGCUGGCUUCUGGACAUCAAGAGACGCUUCAGCUUUUUAUAUGCCUGCUCCAAAAACUUGGCUUUCAGGUCAAAAGUCCAGUUCUUCAACUCAACCAAGAUUUUUUUUUCACUUUCUCAGGAUUUUAUAAAACGACUUUUUCUCCAGCUUCAGAAAUUUGCUCAUUGCUUUUCAGGACAAAAGCAUGGAACUCACUCUCUUCCAUUCACUUCAUCAUCAACGCAUACAGCAAGUGCAGUUACUGCCUCUUCAGUUCCUCAAUAUCCAGAACCUGACAGCCUUUUUACCUCCCCUCAAACAGAAGGAAGAGGGUGCCUGAAAUGUAUGCUCCCUUUGGGCCAGAGGAAGUUGCAUCCAGGCAAAGGGCAACCCCACCAGAUGUGGCUCCUAUUCCCAGAAAUAACUGAAGAGACGUUUCAUUGAUGAACUGAGCAAAUAUCAGAAGGACAGCAUUAUGAAAUAAAGACUAUGGCAUACUAGAUACAAACAGCAUUGCAAUGCCAGUGAGGUACGAGAGAAGAGAUGAAAACCCCAGAUAUGAACCCAUGACUCAUGAAAUCUUGAAAGACUUAUGACAAGCCUCAAAAAAUAAAGGACUUGGUUCACCAUAUUUCAAACAGCUUUGAGCUUCCUCAAGGAGGAAGAGAGAACACUGAGGGCGAGACAGAUGGGAAAUGGCAUGGAGAGCGAAAAAAAAAUUUCAAAAAUAUCCACCCAGUCCAAAGGCAGCAAAAGGCAUGGCAUGCCAGCAAGUGCCAGGCUAUGGGCCAAAGCACAUUCUAUCUUCCUCCUUGAUUUUUCCCCUGAUUUUGCAGCAUCUCUGAUCUUUGUUUUGGCAUCCUUUGCCCCUUUCCACUGCAUCUCAUUUGCUCCCAGACCAUUUUCAUGUGCUCACUGCAUUUCCCAAUUUCCCAUUUUUUUUUUUUUUUCUCAGUGGCGUUUCACUUGGUCAUAUCUCCUUUCCAGAGUAUUUGGGAGUCUUUAUUUUCUGUUUCUCAAGUUUUCCUUUCCUUUCCGAAAGGAAAUUUGGAGUUUUAGGCCUCUAGGAUAUGUGGUAGAGUAACCUACAGUUAGUGAGUUACCUGAACAGGGAAAAAAACCACAAAACUUUGGAAGUAAUGCAGAUGUUAUUUUGAUAUUUCUACAUGACAAUUUUUCCUCAAUUUUUCUAUCAGCUCUUUAAUUGCCACAUAAUUUUUCUACAUGUUGACAGUUUCAUAAAGUUCUGUGAAUUAAGUAGCUUCUAAGAGUAAUUGGAAUAUGAGCUGUCUAAUAUGAUUGUAUUUCCUAUGUAAUUUCAUAUGCUUCUAUUUCUUUCAAAUGUUUUUUUGCAAGCAAAAAUGCAAACCAUAAGCAGUAUCAGUAAUUAUUCAGUAGUUAUUCCUUAUGUUUUUGCAAUUAAAGAUGUGUUUUCUAUAUUAUAUAAUGAAAUAAACUCCGCCAAAUUAUUGACAUUGCUUUUUCUUCAAAGAAAAAUUACAGGUUUUUUUUCUUUCUUUCAUAUGCCUCAUACUAUAGAUGUCUCUUAUUUCAUGGGUCUUAAAAGCAAAACCCUUUCUCAUUUUUUAUAAAGACUCUCAUUUUUUUUUCCUUCUCCAUUUCCUCCCUCCUAUUAAAUUCUCUGAGCCUUGGUUUCUUUUCUGCAAAAGUGAUUCAAUUUCCAGAGGAGAUAAUCAUAAUUGAAAUAAUAACAAUUGGGUUAAUAGGCAUAUCACCCCUUCUUCAUCCAAAGUACUUGUGUCCUGGUCAUCUAGGAAAACAGAGGGUGUGGGUUUGCAGUCUGAACUUUAGGAAGACGUGUAAUACAGGUCACCCACUCUGUCCAAAAUAGGUACAAUGAUAUAGUUUCAACAUUUCCAACAAUAGUACUAAAUCAAGGUGGCAGUGAAUGCUGUGUUUUAUGCUGAAAGUGGUGCAGCUGGGCAUUGUUAAGGGAGCUGGUUGCAAACCAGACCACUUUGGAAACAAAACCUGAAUUUAAAAUGGCACGAAGCAAAAGAUAGGUUGUGGGUGGCUUAGCUUUGCUUGUGUAGUGGUAUCUCUCAGCAUGGCUGCAUUAUACAUUAUGGUUCAGACCAGAAGGGUAAUUUUUCCCCUUGUUUGUCCAUUUUUGAGUAAAUCGCUCAUUUGUACUCUGUGCUGAAGUGCCAUCUAUGUAGGGUUCUCAAAAUGUACACAAUGGGUGUCUUUCCAAUUAUACUUUGCCAGAAAAAGCUUAUUUCAUCUGCCGAAGGAUUUUCAGUAAAUAGAAUUAGCCUAUGACUAGGUUGGGGUAAAACACUGGAAAAUGCUUGCAAUAUGGAUGCCAAGGUCCUCAGCACUAUUUGUUUUGCUGUACUCUUUAUUGAAUUAAAUUUACUAGUAAUAUAGAUAGACACAUUUAUGGAAGUCUUGGAAUGUAGGGAAGUUCACUAGUUCUGCUAAAGGUAUCUAGGGACUCUAUUGCCUAAGAGGUGUUGCUAUGGGGUUUUGUUUGAUUGUUUGUUUUGCUUUUUUGUUUGUCCUUUUAAAAAAAUAUUACUAAUGACUUUAAGUCACUAGAUUUUUUACAACUUUAGAUAUUUAUAAGAAUGGUUAUAUGCAAACAGAAAUGAUUGAGCUAAUGAUUAUCCUUAAAAUGUUAUUUCUGAGGGACAUUGCAUGUAGUCUUUCUUUUCCCUGAACUGAGGUUUAGCUUUCCUUGAAAAUAACAGAUGCAUUGAGGAAGAAUUAGAAAAACCUUCAGAGUUAGUUAGUUGUUAAUAAUUCUCCAGUAGAUGGAGGUAGAGAAUAGCGUGUUUUCCAAGAUGUAUAAAAAUAAUUUUUCCUCAAUGAUAGUGUGUACAUUUUCUGUCAAUCUUCCUAGGGUGUUUAUCAUAAAUGUUAAUAAGUUGCUGUUUGAGAAGAAGCUCAAGAGAGCACAGGCAACAGCACCCAGAUAAGAAUUCAAACCAUUUCCUCAUAUGAAAGGGUCGUAUGUUUUGCUUACCUUAGUAUAACUGCUAAACCCAUUUUGAAGUAUUUGUACUCCAGGUCUUACCAAGUACACAAUGAAAGGAUUGGCAUUUUACUCUGGCUUCAGAGUUCUCCCUUAUACUGUAACUGCUGCACUUCUCUGUACUGCAGGUGACAACUGCCACCUUCUAUCUUUCCUGGUGGACUUCAUUUCUCGCAGUGGUUAACUGCUUUGGAAGUACUUCAGUGUCAGCAAUAAUGGAUUUACUGAAAAGAGUCUGUAACUGCCAAGUUAUUUUGAGAGGACAACCACACUGUUUGCUUUGGGGAGCAGAGUGCUCUCUCUCCAGAAAUUAUGGUGUCUCAAGAAAUAGCAUAAUCCUCUUGAUCACGUCAUCCUAAGAAGAUCUGUCAUUUCUAGCUUGUCCUACAGUAUUUGAUUGCUUUUGCUAGUGAGUUUCUCAAAAGUUAAAAAAAAAAGUUUUUGUUCCUUGUCCUCUUUGCACUGGGGCUCCAAACAUACAAUUAUAUGACUUUCUUGUGCACACUGCUUUGUACUAUUUUACUUUAAAGCAAGCAAUACUAGUAAAGUUGAUAAAUUCAAAUUUUCUGUUUGCAAUGCUUCAUGCAAAACCAAUGAGAAAAGAACAAACCUUUACAUACCAUGAUAUGUACCUGUAUCAUGCUAUUAUUAGUGCAUUUUGUUGUUCUUUUUCCUGUAUACCUUAGACUAAACCAGUUUUACAUGCAAUUACUAUAGUAAUGUUGCAUUUUUUUAGAAGAAAAAUAAACUAAAAGAUCUUAUGAAGACUUUUACAAGAUUUCUAGCAAAACGUCACUCUUAUGCUAACAUAUAACAAAACAUCUAUUUGGAGCUUUCUUUCUUUUUUCUGGGUCUGUAUGCUUUUUGUUAAGUUCCACUAUAAAUUUGUUUGUUUGACUAUAGAUGUUUCUUUUAAUAUUUUGCUAUUCCAUAGCAACUGCAAUAUCUUCAGAAAAAGUACACCAUGGAGAUAUUAUUUUCAGGCACAAAAUAAUUUAACUAAUACCUUUGCUUUCUAACUUGCACUACUGCAUGUCACAAUCUGAUAUAAUUUUAAAGAUCGUGUAAAUUCUUGUACAUGAAGGAAAGAAGUGCACUAUUUACUGAACAAAAUAAAUCCUUUGACACAGAAAUUUCUGGCAACUGGCACCUGGUUCACUUGCUUACUUUGUGGAAGUGAUGGAGCAACUUGGAUGUUUAUAUUGACAUCAUUAUGUAAAACUUACUAAAAAUUUUAAAAAUUACUGUUACUACUUUUCUUAGGCAGAAAGAAAUCACGCUGGAGUUUAUUAUGGGUAAACCCAGAAAGUCUUUGCUCUGCUUUGUGCCAGACUAAAUCUUUAUGAUGGCACUACUGAGCCCUUGCCAAGAUACCCUGCCAGUGUAGUAGGGCUCUAUUGCAAGGAUACACCUUAACAGAGGAAAAGGUUAAAAAAAAAAAAAAGACAAGAAGAAAUAAUGAAGAAAAGACAGCAAUGCUCCCAGCCUCAGUAUGUUAUUCCACAUUUUCAUAAACUUCAUCCUUGUGAACUGAAUUGUUACUUGGAUAUGUGAGGAUGUGCAAAAACCCAAUUGCUCUUUCCAUUUGUAUAAAUAUUAUUUGGCGAUUUGAGAUAGUUCACUCUUUUUGCUGAUGUUUGUAGAGUUGAUUUUUUAACUCUGAUAAAUACUAUAGCAAUAAAAAAAAAGAAUAAUUAAGUUACUCUAACAAUUUAUCAGAUUAUGUAAACAUUUUCAGAAUAUAUGAAUAAUUGCUGUCAUUCACAAUACAUAAGGUGUGAUUACAAGGGUAACUUUGUAACAAAGGAAACCAUCCUUACAUAUAUUUGUAUUGUUUGAGUGUUAACUUCUACUUGUCAUGCCCCAGUGCUUUAAAUUUCAAGGUCAGCCAAACCUAUGAAAAAAAAUUUUCCUCUUCAAGUUCAUAAAUGCUGAACUUCAUUAACUUAAUAAUUAAAUAAACAUAAAAGUAAAAACCAAAAAUCUUCAAGAAAUUUCAGUAUUUUCAGCAUAUAGUAAAAAAAUCUGAGAUUUAUAAAAAUAUUUAUAAAAUGCAAUGUAAUUCUUCAUAUCUUCAAGUCAUGGAGUAGUUAUAAUAAAGAAAAAAUACUAUAUGGAAACACUCUUACAGAUUUACAAUAUUUUAUUAAUUUUUACCUCUAAAAUGUGGUUCAAGCAAAAACAAUUGAGAAAAAUUUUGGCUUGACCUUUGACACAUUCUUUGAGAAAAAAAAUUAGUAUUUUUAUUCUGAGCAGAUUCAUAUAUACCUUUGUUUUCUGCUUACUUAAUAACUAAAAAUAAUUGUGGAGCUUAUAGCCUAUACUUAGAAAAUAAAAGAAUCAUAGUAGUGACACCUUUGUUUCCUAUGUGGUGUGUGGAAAGAAUUAGAAAUAAAAAUUUCAACCUGGUUACAAUGUUUAGAAGGAACAUUUUGCCUGAGGCUGAAAUACCAAAGCAGCUGAAUACAUCUGAUAACAGGUAGCCUGUAAGAAAUAUUUGCAAAAUGGUGAAAGUCAGAGGCUUCAGUUCAAAGCAUGAGGCACAAAGUUCAGCUCAGGUCAAGACCCUGAUAUAGUUAUGGAUGUGGCUACUAAACAAAUCUGGGGUUUUGUUAUUCUCUUGAAACAUAAACUUGAAAGAGAACAUGCUCUGGAGUCUCUACAGACCCUUCUCUUGAAGCACAUAUGCAGGUUCUGGUCCCAAGUCUCAUGGAUUUUCAUGUAAAUUUUGUCUUGCAACUGCUUGAUGAAAAGUACACAAACUGACAUGGCAACAAGGAAAGAAGCUCUCAAGUGUCAUACAGAAUUCCUCUCUUGUAACACUGAGAGUCUCAAAGACUUUCCUACAUGCAGCAGCUUCUACAGCACAUGUGGAGAGGGCGGCAAUUGAGCCACAGUGGGAAGGUUUCCCAGCAUUGACACGCAAGUUUUGUGUUGUCCACUGUGUGAGACUUGACAUAGCUACAUAAUGACCUAUAAAAAUCUGUCUUUAAAUAUUUGUGUGGGUUUACUUGCUGUAUUGCACUGUGGAAAGACAUAAUGGCAUGUUGGGUCACAUGACUGAUAAUACACUGGCAUUGCUAUCAAGACUAUUUGGGGAUCGUAAUUAUGAAAAUUAUCAGGAUAAAGGAAAACUGAAAAGGAUUUAUUUUUUUAAAUUUCAGCAGAAGGAAGGCAGACUGUUCAAGUGACCUAUACAUCCACUUUGCAUUUCCAAGAAUAUUAUAAGCUUUAAUGUUAGUAAAUUUUGUGAAUGAACAUCAACGAAUACACCUUCAGCGCCCCAUGUGGCACUUUUUUUUAUACACUGCUUGUUUCAAUGACAUUGCAAAUAAUAUUUUUCUUCCCUUAUAGCUCAUACACAAGUAUUAAUAUAACACUAUAUAAAAGGAUGAAAUUGCAUGCAAUGGUAAAUCACCAGGGCAACAGGGAACUCUUCACAGCAUUAUAGUGUUGAUUUUCCAUUUCAGAAACUCUAAAAAAUAUUACUUUUGCAGAAAUAGCCAUCAAGCUGGGAGCAAAAAAGAAAACAGUAUUUUCAAAAGCCAGUUAAAAGGUGUGAAUCAUACUACUGUUAAGACAUUUCAGUUUUGUGUGCAUGUCUGUUUAUAUUUACUCACAAUUUAAUGUGAGUUUUUUACUGUUAAAAGUGAAUGUCUUCAAAUGAAAUUUAUGACAAGUUUUUGAACUAAAGGAUGAUUAUUAAUAUAUUGCCACAUUGCUGUUUUGCCAGUACUGGAAGAUUGUUUCCACUGAAACACUCCUUGCUAAAUGUCAAAAUGCAAAACUUAAAACAUUCAUAUUUUCUAAAUGUUUUAUCUCAGAUACUUUGAAUUCUCUGAUCUAACUAAUGCUACAUUUGCUGCAUAUAAUUUUUAAACUAGGUCAUUUCUUUGUGGUUCUGAAAUAAAAUUUCCACAUGAUCAUA